CCAGACUCCUACGGGAGGCAGCAGUGAGGAAUAUUGGUCAAUGGGCGCUAGCCUGAACCAGCCAAGUAGCGUGAAGGAUGACUGCCCUAUGGGUUGUAAACUUCUUUUAUAUGGGAAUAAAGUGCAGUAUGUAUACUGCUUUGCAUGUACCUUAUGAAUAAGGAUCGGCUAACUCCGUGCCAGCAGCCGCGGUAAUACGGAGGAUCCGAGCGUUAUCCGGAUUUAUUGGGUUUAAAGGGAGCGUAGGCGAGUUGUUAAGUCAGUUGUGAAAGUUUGCGGCUCAACCGUAAAAUUGCAAUUGAUACUGGCAGCCUUGAGUACAGUUGAGGUAGGCGGAAUUCGUGGUGUAGCGGUGAAAUGCUUAGAUAUCACGAAGAACCCCGAUUGCGAAGGCAGCCUGCCGCAGCGUUACUGACGCUGAAGCUCGAAAGCGCGGGUAUCGAACAGGAUUAGAUACCCGGGUACG
This 466-nucleotide ribosomal RNA is filed under the name uncultured bacterium. RNAcentral's name for it is "bacterial SSU rRNA". It matches the Rfam family "Bacterial small subunit ribosomal RNA", at positions 331 to 793 of the family's 1533-position model. The record is from RNAcentral.